UCCUUGGUGGUCCAGAGGUUAGGACUUGGCGUUCUCACUGCUAUGGGCCUGGGUUCAAUCCCUGGUCAGCGAA
This 73-nucleotide transfer RNA is filed under the name Bos taurus (domestic cattle). It matches the Rfam family "tRNA". From Rfam's summary of the family: Transfer RNA (tRNA) molecules are approximately 80 nucleotides in length. Their secondary structure includes four short double-helical elements and three loops (D, anti-codon, and T loops). The record is from Rfam by way of RNAcentral. Lineage: Eukaryota; Metazoa; Chordata; Mammalia; Artiodactyla; Bovidae.